AACUAGACAAAAACUGGCAUGUUCCGCUCAAAGUUCCAAUUCCUGUCCCCCUGAACCUUGAAGUGAAACUGCCGGUUCCAAUCCAGUUCAAGUGUUCAGCCCGUUGGCCACCCCUAGACACUUCUGUAUAACUCGAAGAAAACCUGUGAGUAUCCCCUAUGGGGUUGGGUUGCAAAUAUCAAGUGUUUGCACUAGCAUUAUGAUUUUAAUCAAUGUUGUAAAAAUUUUCAUUUAUGAUCUAAAGUCCUGGAACCUAGACUUGCCUGCCUAAAUGAAACAAGUGCACAUUUUUAGUAGAAACUCAUAAGAAGCACGGUGGAAAAAGUUGAAAGAAACCAAGAACGAGAAAGAAGUGAAUGUUUUGCCUAUUCUCAAUCUGAAGUUGUGAAAUUUUUAAUUGUUAUAUUUCUGAUGCUUCUCAUUCAAAUUGUAAGAAUGUUCAUUUAUGAUCUAUAGUCUUGGAGCCUGGACUUGCCUGAGUGAAACAAAGUGCACAUUUUUAGUAGACACUCUUAAGAAGCACAGAGAGUAGUAAACGUUGAGCCUAUUCUCAAUUGGUCUGAAGUUUUGUGCGAUUUGUAAUUUUUAUCUUUCUGAUGAUUCUUAUUCAGUUGACCAAGGUUUUCUGAGGUUGAACUGUAUGCUUCUAGAAUUUCCUAGACCAUGUGUAAUGUUUUUUUGGUCAUUCAAUCAAUUUGCAGAAACUGUGUAAUAGUAAUGGUACUGAAUUUCUUAGAGAUUCACAAGUGAAUGUACUGAAAUAGUGCACGUUAAAGGUGUUUUUGUUUGCACAUGCUUGAAGAAUCUCUUUCUUUCCCCACACCCCCUCUCCAGCAUUUUGUAAAUACUGAAUGCUUGAUUAUAACUAGGUUUUGUGGUUAAAGCGCUUCUUUUAAGUUACACAUUUAUGUGCAUGUAGAAAAUGCUUCUUGCUUCCUUCAACAUGAUCUUCUGAUGCCCCAUUUAGUCACUCUUACUCUAAUGAACAUAUUGAAUUUCCUUUUGAACGUUAAUAUGGUUUUCUGUUCUGUAAAUUGGAUUCGAAACUACAAAUUUCCUUCCAUUGUGCUUAUCAACAUUGACUUCAUUAAAUACAAUUUCUUUCUGAUUUCCUUAUGUUCUCUUGGCAUCAUGGAGAUUCAGAAAAUCACGUUGAGAGAGGCAUGAAGCAAUUUCUACAUGCUCUUAUAAGUGCAUUACUUAAAAGAAGCAUUUUAACCCAGAAAAUUCAGUUGUCAUGCAUUCAGUAACCAAACAAUGAUGGAAGUUGAAAAACUACACAAAGGUUGGAUAUUGAAAAAGAAACGCAAGCAUGGAUCCUAAAAGCAAUUGCAAACAGAAGGAAAUUUAAGCUGUGCUAUCUCACGGAAUUAUUGAGUCUGACUCUGGUGAAUAUAUAGGUUGUGCUUUUAAUUGAAUAAUGAAGAUGAUGGGUUGUUUUGCAUGUAUUGGGUCCAAAACUAUAAGUUUUAUUCUCUUCUGCUCAUCAACAUUGACUUCACGGAAUAUGAUUUUGUAUGCUGGCAUCUUGGAAAUUCAGAACCUUUGUUAUGUUGCUGCUGAUUACAAAGCUGAGUUACAUAAAGACACACAAGCAUCACUAGAAGUACCAGGUGAAGGAUGGUUUACCCUUUCAAAAGAACGCUUUAAAACAGGGGAAAUUUUAUUCCAGCCACGAAUUGCAGGAGUGUAAGUCUAUAUGUUCCAUCAAUAUAACCUAUUGAUAUUUUUUCCUGAAUACUGCUCAUACCGACUUUCCUUUUUGAUAAAGAUGGAUGACCAUGAAAUUUUUUUGAAGGUAUCUCAUCAGAGUCUUGCAAAAUGUUUCUAAAUCAAAUAUACAAGGAGGAAAAGUUUAUUGAGCAAUACAUAGGACCCAGUAGCUUCAAUUAUGAAAAAUGAUUCAUGUGUUGGGAAAUUAAUUACAGCAUGCAUGUAACCAGUGUUUUCCCCUUUAUAUGUUUUUCUUCCCCCUAUUCAACAACUAUAUUCUUUUUUGUAUAUGUUAUGCCAUCAAAAUCAUGAACCCCAUGCAGUUGGUUAAAAGAUUUCAUUUGCCCCAUGAUAUAGGCGUGCAAUGGGUUUGCACCAGGCAGUAGGACUUUGCAUGGAUCACUGUCAUGCUGCAGAGUUGGCUGGCGAUGAUGCUUGGUUUAAGACUGUGGUUUUGUCAGGAGGCACUUCAUGUUUACCUGGACUAGCAGGUUAGAUAAACUUUUUUUAAAAAAAAAAUAGCGUACACUUCUCCCUCCAUUUUUGGGACAAAUGCAUGGUUGAAUUGACUUGAAAAGGAUUAAGAAAUCUAUCUAAACUAUCUAUAAAAAACAAUGAAGAGGCAACAUGUGAAUGGAAAAAAAGAUAUAUGGUUAAUUUUUUUUUCCCCGUAAAAUGACUGAUUACAGUAACACCUAAACCUCCAAUAUAUCAUUGCCCUAAAUGUAGUUUACUUCUACUUAUACAAGAAAAUCUGAAAAAAUAUAAGUAGGAUUUUCUUUCUUGUAUUACCACUUCUUACCAUUAAUUGUAUCUUUUAUUAUUGCUUUAUCUUUUCCUCCAUUGUCAUCAUCCUGACGUUAUUGUAUUUUCUAUUAUUGUUAUUUUUUUAAAUGAAUGUACGGGCAAACUUCAAAUAUAAGGCAAAUUAUUAAAUAAAAGAUGACAACAACUUAUUAUCUUUUUUUUGAAAAAAUAAAUUUGCAUAAAUUAUUCAAUUGAAUAAUUCUAAUACUCUUCGGAUUAUUGAAUGGAUAUAGAUAUAUAAAACUUAAUUAGUGGAAUAUUGGCCUUUCACUAUAAUUAUUUGAAUUGUGUAUUGAACUUCGAAAAUAAUAGUUAUCAUAAAAAUUACAAUUUAAAAAUUGAAAUAAAAUUUAUACUGUUAUAGAAAGAAAUAUAUUUAUGAGUUAAAAUAGCAAAAAAAAAAAAGUGCAAUGCACAUGACAAAAUUACUAGUUUGAUUAAAUUGGUGAAUAAAUCUGUGCAAGUCUUGAGCAUAUGAGUCUGUCUUUUUUCAACUCCUUUCAGAGAGGCUGGAGAAAGAAUUGCAUGAACUUCUUCCAGCAUCAAUUUGCAGUGGACUAAGAGUCAUUCCUCCUCCCUAUGGUGCAGACACUGCAUGGUUUGGAGCAAAGGUUAUCAGCAACGUAAGCUUCUUGACCAGUAAAUUUUUGUAUGUGCAAAACUUGAAUUUACUAAUAGCUAAUCCAUGGUUUUUGAUACUAUGAAACAUUGAUCCUAGAUUAAUGUUUUCUGAAUUCAACUUAAUUUGGUUUCUAAAAACAAUGGUAGUCCAGGUUUUCAGAAUUUUAAGUUGAUUCCUGAGCAUGAUCAAAAUUUCAAAUAAUGUGGAAACUGGCAUUUUUGGCAUGGUGACACUCUAGGCUUCAUCUGCAUUUUUUUUUUCUUUUUUCUACAGUUAAGCACCUUCCCUGGACCAUGGUGUGUGACAAAGAAGCAAUUCAAACGGAAAUCGAGAUUCAAUCUGGCAUGGUAAGUACAGUCUUUCGCCCAGAUGGAGCGCACAUUCAUGAGAUUUCUUCUAGAAAGCCCAGCUUUCACAUUGUAAAAAAUUGUCAAACAAUAUAUAUUUUUUUUUUUCAAAAUUUUUUCCUGUUUUAUUGAAUUAUGUUAUAAGCUCUUGGGCUACCGUAUGGAGGGUAGCCUUUCUAUCACUUGUAUUGUUAGUUUCAUUUGGCUCAUGGGAAUGGAAUAGAGUAAUAAGGACCACGAAUAGCUAUUUCUCACUUGUGAUUGAAUCUUGUAAUUCAAAAUUUUUGGAGGUAUAUUAUUCGAUAUGAUAUUAUAUAUUUUAAAUUUUAAUGAAAAGUUGAGAUUGUGGAAUAGCUAUUCUAUUGAACUAAGUAUUCCACAUUUAAAAUUUGAACCAUAGCUAAGACUAGAUAUUCAACAUGGAACCUCCUUUCUAUUCCAUGUCACUCCAUGAACUAGUCAAAGCCUAAGAGUAUAGAAAUAGCUAAGAUGAAGAACAUUUAGAUUCUACAAUAAGGUUACCUUUCGAAUAGCAUCAAGUUCAU
This 4034-nucleotide unclassified non-coding RNA is filed under the name Hevea brasiliensis (rubber tree). Lineage: Eukaryota; Viridiplantae; Streptophyta; Magnoliopsida; Malpighiales; Euphorbiaceae. The record is from RNAcentral.